UACGUAGGUGGCGAGCGUUAUCCGGAAUGAUUGGGCGUAAAGGGUGCGUAGGCGGCCUGCUAAGUCUGGAGUGAAAGGCAUGGGCUCAACCUGUGGACUGCUUUGGAAACUGUGCAGCUUGAGUGUCGGAGAGGCAAGUGGAAUUCCUAGUGUAGCGGUGAAAUGCGUAGAUAUUAGGAGGAACACCAGUGGCGAAGGCGACUUUCUGGACAGUAACUGACGUUGAGGCACGAAAGUGUGAGGAGCAAACAGG
RNAcentral lists this ribosomal RNA (253 nucleotides) under uncultured Dorea sp. Its description in RNAcentral is "partial 16S ribosomal RNA". It matches the Rfam family "Bacterial small subunit ribosomal RNA", at positions 524 to 776 of the family's 1533-position model. The record is from RNAcentral. Lineage: Bacteria; Bacillati; Bacillota; Clostridia; Lachnospirales; Lachnospiraceae.